Long non-coding RNA from Leptinotarsa decemlineata (Colorado potato beetle), 204 nucleotides. NCBI's taxonomy places the organism in Eukaryota, Metazoa, Arthropoda, Insecta, Coleoptera, Chrysomelidae. The record is from RefSeq and is a predicted model, not a curated record.
GGAAUUGGUUUACGGAUAUAUAUACGGAGAUAUCUUGAGAUUAUGUGAUGGAUUUCGUCUCAUCUAAAGAAGCAUGGUAAACGUGCAUUGAGAUGUCUUCCGCCGCCGUCGGAACACAUUCGGGGGCGGGUCCCCUGAGUUUGAUGUCCUGUGUUCGAGAGUCGUCUCCUUUCCAGGACUUCGAUUCUGACAACGAAAAGAACG